CAUUGGAUUACACCAACCCGCCGUCCUAUUAUAUCACAGUUUGGUGGUAGGUCCACUCCGGCCCCGGUGGCUUUUAGCUCUCUUUUCAAGCCCUUGUUUUUUUUUUUUCUUUUCUUUUAUCGUUUUCCUUUUUUUACCUAAGAGUCGCCGAGAGUGAUAGCUCACAAAUGGAGCCUCAAGUCGUGAAAAAGAGAGGCCGUAAGCCCAAGCCUAAAGAUGAGAAAGAUCAGCAGCAGCAGAGUGCUGGCAAAAUGAAGGAAGGAAAGAAGAUUCAGCAGCCUUCUGUCGACGAGAAGUACACUCAAUGGAAGUCUUUGGUUCCAGUUCUCUACGACUGGCUCGCUAACCAUAAUCUCGUUUGGCCCUCUCUUUCUUGCCGGUGGGGU
Molecule: unclassified non-coding RNA, 386 nt
Filed under: Hevea brasiliensis (rubber tree)
Lineage: Eukaryota; Viridiplantae; Streptophyta; Magnoliopsida; Malpighiales; Euphorbiaceae
Source: RNAcentral